This 434-nucleotide ribosomal RNA is filed under the name uncultured Clostridium sp. RNAcentral describes it as "partial 16S ribosomal RNA". It matches the Rfam family "Bacterial small subunit ribosomal RNA", at positions 341 to 792 of the family's 1533-position model. Lineage: Bacteria; Bacillati; Bacillota; Clostridia; Eubacteriales; Clostridiaceae. The record is from RNAcentral.
ACGGGAGGCAGCAGUGGGGAAUAUUGCACAAUGGGCGCAAGCCUGAUGCAGCGAUGCCGCGUGAGGGAAGAAGGUUUUCGGAUUGUAAACCUCUGUCAACAGGGACGAAAAUGACGGUACCUGUGAAGGAAGCUCCGGCUAACUACGUGCCAGCAGCCGCGGUAAUACGUAGGGGGCAAGCGUUAUCCGGAUUUACUGGGUGUAAAGGGAGCGUAGACGGAAGGCCAAGUCUGAUGUGAAAACCCAGGGCUCAACCCUGGGACUGCAUUGGAAACUGGUCAUCUAGAGUGCAGGAGGGGUAAGCGGAAUUCCUAGUGUAGCGGUGAAAUGCGUAGAUAUUAGGAGGAACACCAGUGGCGAAGGCGGCUUACUGGACUGUAACUGACGUUGAGGCUCGAAAGCGUGGGGAGCAAACAGGAUUAGAUACCCUGGUA